This is a long non-coding RNA of Neofelis nebulosa (Clouded leopard), 681 nucleotides long. RefSeq lists it as uncharacterized. Lineage: Eukaryota; Metazoa; Chordata; Mammalia; Carnivora; Felidae. The transcript has 4 exons. The record is from RefSeq and is a predicted model, not a curated record.
GAGCCCGCCGCCACCACGUGCGAGGGCCGGAAAGAAACCACUUGCCUAGGAAAACGCCGGCCCUCAAAGUCGACAGCCCAGUUCCCGGAGAGCCGGCGCCAGCUGGCUUCCGGGGGCGGAAGCCCGACGCCAUCUCGCACCAGACGCGCGGCCUCCUCUCCUCAGGCUUCAAGAGGCCACCUGCAUUCCUUCACUCAUGACCCCUUCCUCCAUCUUGAAAGCCAGCACUAUAGCAUCUACAGAUCUCUCUCAGAUCUCUGCUUCUACCGUCCCAUCUUUCUGACUCCGACCCUCCUGCUUUCCCAGAGAAGGCUCCCUCUGGCUUCUGUGCAGCAAAGGGACAAGAGUAGGAGCUGGGAGUCUGUAGGAUACAUAUAGAGUGAAAUUUGUAAGAAAAUUUUUUGUUCAGAAAUAGCAUCCAACAGAUUUGAAGUUCCAAAUGGAGUCAGCACCAAGUCCAAAAACAAAACAAAACCAAACAAAACCUCGCAAAGCAUUUUCCAGUAGGAUUUCCUGAAGGAACACUUCAAAAGGUCUAGAUAUAUCCAAGACGGCUGAAGUCACACGCCUGCUUUCAGCCUCAGGAAAUGUACUUGUCUCACAUUCUCAGUAGCUUCUCAAGUUAUUUUAACUGUUCAGCCCUGACAGUUAAAUAAAAACUUGAUGAUAGAAGAGGUUUCA